RNAcentral lists this ribosomal RNA (1032 nucleotides) under Ochthephilum fracticorne. Its description in RNAcentral is "partial large subunit ribosomal RNA". It matches the Rfam family "Eukaryotic large subunit ribosomal RNA", at positions 56 to 822 of the family's 3401-position model. Lineage: Eukaryota; Metazoa; Arthropoda; Insecta; Coleoptera; Staphylinidae. The record is from RNAcentral.
GAAAAGAAACUAACUAGGAUUCCCUCAGUAGCGGCGAGCGAACAGGGAAGAGCCCAGCACCGAAUCCCGCGGCCGAUCCCGGACGCCGGGAAAUGUGGUGUUAGGGAGGGUCCGCUAUCCCGAGGUCGCGCGGCGCGUCCAAGUCCUUCUUGAACGGGGCCACUUACCCAAAGAGGGUGCCAGGCCCGUAGCGGCCGCCGCCGAUCGCGGGAGGAUCUCUCCUCAGAGUCGGGUUGCUUGAGAGUGCAGCCCUAAGUGGGUGGUAAACUCCAUCUAAGGCUAAAUAUAACCACGAGACCGAUAGCGAACAAGUACCGUGAGGGAAAGUUGAAAAGAACUUUGAAGAGAGAGUUCAAUAGUACGUGAAACCGUUCAGGGGUAAACCUGAGAAAUCCGAAAGAUCGAAUGGGGACAUUCAGCGCGUCUCGCCUGGCGGCGAGCUCAGGACGCGAGACGAUAGGGCGUUCGCGCUCUGUCGCUCCUUCCGAAGCCGCGACCGCUGGCGAACGCGUGCACUUCUCCCCUAGUAGGACGUCGCGACCCGUUGGGUGUCGGUCUAAGGACCGCGGUGGAGCCCGCCGGGUAACGGUUCAUCCCGUUGCCUUGCGGACCCGCGGUUUCCCGACCCGCUCACUCGACGGUAAAACGGUGGCGAAGGGUCGCGAGUGUUCGCGCCCGGCCCGUCGCAAGCGUUACCGUUCGCCCGGAUUUCGGACCUGCGCGCCGAUACCGGGCACGGUUGGCUGCUGGCGGCGGUGUCCUCGGGCCGGCCCCGAUACACGCCCGUCGGCGACGCUUUAGCUUUGGAUACUUUCAGGACCCGUCUUGAAACACGGACCAAGGAGUCUAGCAUGUGCGCGAGUCAUUGGGACUCUACUAAACCUAAAGGCGCAAUGAAAGUGAAGGCCGCCUUGCGCGUGCCGAGGGAGGACCGGUCGGACCGAUUUUGUGUCCGCGCCGUGCACUCCCGGGGCGUCUCAUGCUCAUCGCGAGCUGAGGCGCACCCAGAGCGUACACGCUGGGACCCGAAAG